Small nuclear RNA from Aplysia californica (California sea hare), 110 nucleotides. The record is from RefSeq and is a predicted model, not a curated record. NCBI's taxonomy places the organism in Eukaryota, Metazoa, Mollusca, Gastropoda, Aplysiida, Aplysiidae.
UAGGCCUACAUGAUUUUUUAAAAAAAACUAGAACGAUACAGAAAAGAUUAGCAUGGCCCUUGCGCCAGAAUGACAAUGACACGCACAUUCGUAAAAUGUUCCAUAUAUUU